UGGUCUGCCUCAGGGGCUGAAAUCCUCUUUUUAUGCACCGAGUGGGAACAGCACAGGGAGUGACAAGCUGGUUUUCUUCAAACCACUCCCACCAACUGGCUCAAGCCAAAAAAUGGGCCCACACCUUUCGGCAAAGAGAAUUGGGCAGCCUCUGCCGCCCGUUUAACCCUUGCUGUC
Unclassified non-coding RNA from Panthera pardus (leopard), 177 nucleotides. Lineage: Eukaryota; Metazoa; Chordata; Mammalia; Carnivora; Felidae. The record is from Ensembl.